RNAcentral lists this long non-coding RNA (366 nucleotides) under Equus caballus (horse). RNAcentral's name for it is "lncRNA (ENSECAG00000056411.1)". The record is from RNAcentral. Lineage: Eukaryota; Metazoa; Chordata; Mammalia; Perissodactyla; Equidae.
AGACAUACUUGACAUAGAUUGGAGAUGAAACGCUUUCCAGUUACACCCAUGUGGAGCUCAUCAAAGUCUCUAGCAGUAAGAGGUGAGCAUCAUCAUCACCAAUUUAUAAAUGGAAACACAGAGACUCAGAGGAGCCACAGUCAUGCAGCCUUUGAAUUACAAAUAAGGAAUUGCAUUUCAGGUCAUCAUGCUCCAAAUUGCCAGGACAUUUCUGCAGCUCGGUUUGGAGUUGAGGCAUUCAACUGAAUUUCUGGAGAUUAGGGCAGCCCUCUAAGGUCCAUCUCUUUCAUUUAAACUGGCCCUUCUGCUUGCAACUGACUGUAAGAACAGAAUUCUCUUGGAAGCUCAGAGAACACGAAGGUGGAG